GCUCAUCCCAGUAGUAACUGGGGACAAAACCACCUCUACAUAGCGUUAGGAUGUUCAUGUGAAUUUGGAACUGAACAGUCAAAUGCCAAAGAGCUCUCAAAUGGUUGACAGUGGUUUUAUUGUUCUUUGGAAAGUCUGGGAAAAGACAAUUGGUGAGCUGGGAUCUGGAUACCUCUUGGGUGGACUUUGUCCAGUUCUACAUCCAGAUAGGCGGAGAGAGUGGUGCGUGCAACAAACCUGACAGCCGAGAGGGGGGCGUCCUCCUCCAGUACAGCAACAACGGGGGCAUCCAGUGGCACCUGCUGGCAGAGAUGUACUUCUCAGAUUUCAGCAAGCCAAGAUUUGUGUAUCUGGAGCUUCCAGCUGCUGCUAAGACCCCUUGCACCAGGUUCCGCUGGUGGCAGCCCGAGUUCUCUGGGGAGGACUAUGACCAGUGGGCAGUAGAUGACAUCAUCAUUCUGUCAGAGAAGCAGAAGCAGGUUAUUCCAGUUGUGAACCCAACUUUACCCCAGGUAUUUUAGU
RNAcentral lists this long non-coding RNA (522 nucleotides) under Ictidomys tridecemlineatus (thirteen-lined ground squirrel). RNAcentral describes it as "lncRNA (ENSSTOG00000031430.1)". Lineage: Eukaryota; Metazoa; Chordata; Mammalia; Rodentia; Sciuridae. The record is from RNAcentral.